Molecule: long non-coding RNA, 392 nt
Organism: Labrus bergylta (ballan wrasse)
Lineage: Eukaryota; Metazoa; Chordata; Actinopteri; Labriformes; Labridae
Source: RefSeq, a predicted model, not a curated record
UCGAAGCGACGCCGGAAGUGCUCAAGCAAGCGAACAAACAAACCGCCGGCUAGCUCGGAUUUUCUCGAGUUUUAACGACUUUUGAGGGAAUUUCACUCUUUUAAAUCAGCGAGUUUUAUUUUUUAUUUUUAUAGUUUUAAGUUUUAUUUACUGAAGCGAACUGAAAGUCGUGAACACAACUUUACCGGAAGCUAAACUUUGCGCUUAACGAGUUUCAAAGAAAGGUGUAACUUCCGGUGGACGUCACUCAGGUAAACCGUCUCAGGCUUCACCUGUGACCCAACAGGUGUUACUGACGUCACAACCAAUAAGGCGGGGACCCUGGAUUUCAGCAGAUCUGUGCGGCGGUGAAGAGUCCCUCCAGGAGCUCUAGAUUUCUACAUCUGGUGAGU